AUGAGAAGCAUCUGAAUGAGCAGCUAAUGCGUGAAGCAAGAACUGAAAGCAGAAAGAAGAUGGAUCAAGAGGACAGGAGAGAUAAGCAAACAAAGCAGCAUCUUCCAUGGACAUCAGUACCUUUUCCCAACAAGUCCAAGACCCAGGGCUCCAAAAUACCACUCAUAAGGUUGUACUUCCAGCUACUUGCCUGUUUCCACGUGUGCGUGCUAAGUCACUUCAGUAGUAUCCAGUUCUUUGCAACCCCAUGGACUGUA
Capra hircus (goat) is the source of this 257-nucleotide long non-coding RNA. RefSeq lists it as uncharacterized. Lineage: Eukaryota; Metazoa; Chordata; Mammalia; Artiodactyla; Bovidae. The record is from RefSeq and is a predicted model, not a curated record. The transcript has 3 exons.